Molecule: long non-coding RNA, 292 nt
Filed under: Trifolium pratense (red clover)
Lineage: Eukaryota; Viridiplantae; Streptophyta; Magnoliopsida; Fabales; Fabaceae
Description: long non-coding RNA (TPRA_LNC001774)
Source: RNAcentral
CUUGCAAAUGGACUAUUAGGAGCACUUUUUGUAGAUCCAUUGUCACUUUUAUUAGAAACAGAUCCGUUGCCCACUUCCUGUUCAUUUGUAGUCUGAGGUUUUUCUGACUUAUCAUCACUCUUAGGUGACGCUACAAAUUUUGGACUGUCAAUAUCCAGAGCUUUCGUGUUCCCAGCCUUAUCAUCACUCUUAGGUGACGCUACAAAUUUUGGACUGUCACUAUCCAAAGCUUUUGUGUUCACAGCCUUUGGUAACUUUUGUUUUGGAGGUGCUAUGGUGUUUUUCACAUCAA